CUUGGUCAUUUAGAGGAAGUAAAAGUCGUAACAAGGUCUCCGUUGGUGAACCAGCGGAGGGAUCAUUACCGAGUUUACAACUCCCAAACCCCUGUGAACAUACCUUAUGUUGCCUCGGCGGAUCAGCCCGCGCCCCGUAAAAAGGGACGGCCCGCCGCAGGAACCCUAAACUCUGUUUUUAGUGGAACUUCUGAGUAUAAAAAACAAAUAAAUCAAAACUUUCAACAACGGAUCUCUUGGUUCUGGCAUCGAUGAAGAACGCAGCAAAAUGCGAUAAGUAAUGUGAAUUGCAGAAUUCAGUGAAUCAUCGAAUCUUUGAACGCACAUUGCGCCCGCCAGUAUUCUGGCGGGCAUGCCUGUUCGAGCGUCAUUUCAACCCUCAAGCCCAGCUUGGUGUUGGGAGCUGCAGUCCUGCUGCACUCCCCAAAUACAUUGGCGGUCACGUCGAGCUUCCAUAGCGUAGUAAUUUACACAUCGUUACUGGUAAUCGUCGCGGCCACGCCGUUAAACCCCAACUUCUGAAUGUUGACCUCGGAUCAGGUAGGAAUACCCGCUGAACUUAAGCAUAUCAAUAAGCGGAGGAAAAGAAACCAACAGGGAUUGCCCUAGUAACGGCGAGUGAAGCGGCAACAGCUCAAAUUUGAAAUCUGGCUUUCGGGCCCGAGUUGUAAUUUGUAGAGGAUGAUUUUGAUGCGGUGCCUUCCGAGUUCCCUGGAACGGGACGCCAUAGAGGGUGAGAGCCCCGUCUGGUUGGAUGCCAAAUCUCUAUAAAUCUCCUUCGACGAGUCGAGUUGUUUGGGAAU
RNAcentral lists this small RNA (803 nucleotides) under uncultured Fusarium. RNAcentral's name for it is "eukaryotic LSU rRNA". The stretch from base 527 to 803 matches the Rfam family "Eukaryotic large subunit ribosomal RNA", at positions 1 to 281 of the family's 3401-position model. Lineage: Eukaryota; Fungi; Ascomycota; Sordariomycetes; Hypocreales; Nectriaceae. The record is from RNAcentral.